CUUUUUUUUCCAGAAACACAAGACCUUUGAUUCUUUUCAGAAUGAGGUUUUGCAAAGUGAGCUGACUGAAAAGGCUUGAGAAAAGCACAGUCAAGAAAAUGCAAGGCAAACAUGAAACCCCCGGCUUACUGAGAGAGGAGGGUCUCCUGUAGGCUCUAUCUAGCAAGAUCUGAACCUCCAGGUGAAGGUCAUACCUGCUGUUCUCAAACCUGCUGUCAUUUCUCCGUGAGGAAUUCUCCUUGACAAGUAUUUUGGCCCCUUGCCCUG
Molecule: long non-coding RNA, 267 nt
Filed under: Equus asinus (donkey)
Lineage: Eukaryota; Metazoa; Chordata; Mammalia; Perissodactyla; Equidae
Description: lncRNA (ENSEASG00005035031.1)
Source: RNAcentral